Molecule: long non-coding RNA, 299 nt
Filed under: Homo sapiens (human)
Lineage: Eukaryota; Metazoa; Chordata; Mammalia; Primates; Hominidae
Description: non-protein coding lnc-TPGS2-3:1
Source: RNAcentral
GGUUCCUGGACAGAGCGUUAUACUGGCAUUUUCUCACAGACACCUUUACUGCCUAUUACCGCCUGCUCAUCACCCACCUGGGCCUGCCCCAGUGGCAAUAUGCCUUCACCAGCUAUGGCAUUAGCCCACAGGCCAAGCCCAAAGGAUCUGAAGGCCGUUCCAAGCGAGGGUGCUUCUGAGGACACUGAGAAGAGUUUUGCCAUUCUGAAGAGGCGAGCCUGUGGAACUGUUUAAGGUCCUGUUCCCAGAAGAAUAAAAGUUUCUCAUUAUGGCAUUAAACUCUAUUUAUUUAGUAUUUG